ACAACGAACAUUAUGAAAACUUGUAUAUACCCUGGAUAUGGCAGGGAGUUUCUACCGGAAACCAAUAAUUUCCGACUAUAAGUAAGAUUAAAUGUCUU
RNAcentral lists this non-coding RNA (98 nucleotides) under Clostridium sp. Its description in RNAcentral is "Guanine sequence". It matches the Rfam family "Purine riboswitch aptamer". From Rfam's summary of the family: Riboswitches are metabolite binding domains within certain messenger RNAs that serve as precision sensors for their corresponding targets. Allosteric rearrangement of mRNA structure is mediated by ligand binding, and this results in modulation of gene expression. The record is from RNAcentral. Lineage: Bacteria; Bacillati; Bacillota; Clostridia; Eubacteriales; Clostridiaceae.